GGACUACACGGGUAUCUAAUCCUGUUUGCUCCCUAUACUUUCGCGCCUCAGCGUCAAUCAUCUGCCAGAAACCUGCCUUCGCCUUUGGUGUUCUUUCUGAUCUCAACAGAUUCCACCCCUACACCAGAAAUUCCAGUUUCCCCUCAAAGAUUCUAGUUAUACAGUUUCCAUAAUCCUCCCUAAGUUAAGCCUAGGUCUUUAACUACAGACUUUUAUAACCGCCUACACGCCCUUUACGCCCAAUAAUUCCGAACAACGCUCGCCUCUUACGUAUUACCGCGGCGGCUGGCAC
This 292-nucleotide ribosomal RNA is filed under the name uncultured bacterium. RNAcentral's name for it is "partial 16S ribosomal RNA". The record is from RNAcentral.